AACGCUAGCUACAGGCUUAACACAUGCAAGUCGAGGGGCAUCAGGGUAGCAAUACCGCUGGCGACCGGCGCACGGGUGAGUAACACGUAUCCAACCUACCGUUAACUCGGGGAUAGCCUUUCGAAAGAAAGAUUAAUACCCGAUAGUAUAUUUUCUUCGCAUGUUGAAAAUAUUAAAGAAAUUCGCUGAUAGAUGGGCAUGCGUCCCAUUAGGUAGUUGGUGAGGUAACGGCUCACCAAGCCGACGAUGGAUAGGGGAACUGAGAGGUUGGUCCCCCACACUGGUACUGAGACACGGACCAGACUCCUACGGGAGGCAGCAGUGAGGAAUAUUGGUCAAUGGACGAGAGUCUGAACCAGCCAAGUAGCGUGCAGGAUGACGGCCCUAUGGGUUGUAAACUGCUUUUAUAAGGGAAUAAAGUGAGUCUCGUGAGACUUUUUGCAUGUACCUUAUGAAUAAGGACCGGCUAAUUCCGUGCCAGCAGCCGCGGUAAUACGGAAGGUCCGGGCGUUAUCCGGAUUUAUUGGGUUUAAAGGGAGCGUAGGCCGGAGAUUAAGCGUGUUGUGAAAUGUAGACGCUCAACGUCUGCACUGCAGCGCGAACUGGUUUCCUUGAGUACGCACAAAGUGGGCGGAAUUCGUGGUGUAGCGGUGAAAUGCUUAGAUAUCACGAAGAACUCCGAUUG
Molecule: ribosomal RNA, 685 nt
Filed under: uncultured bacterium
Lineage: Bacteria
Description: partial 16S ribosomal RNA
Rfam family: Bacterial small subunit ribosomal RNA
Source: RNAcentral